RNAcentral lists this ribosomal RNA (406 nucleotides) under uncultured bacterium. RNAcentral's name for it is "bacterial SSU rRNA". It matches the Rfam family "Bacterial small subunit ribosomal RNA", at positions 355 to 773 of the family's 1533-position model. The record is from RNAcentral.
UGGGGAAUAUUGCGCAAUGGGCGAAAGCCUGACGCAGCGACGCCGCGUGAGGGAUGACGGCCUUCGGGUUGUAAACCUCUUUCAGCAGGGACGAAGCGCAAGUGACGGUACCUGCAGAAGAAGCGCCGGCCAACUACGUGCCAGCAGCCGCGGUAAUACGUAGGGCGCAAGCGUUGUCCGGAAUUAUUGGGCGUAAAGAGCUCGUAGGCGGUCUGUCGCGUCGGCUGUGAAAUCCCGAGGCUCAACCUCGGGUCUGCAGUCGAUACGGGCAAACUGGAGUACUGCAGGGGAGACUGGAAUUCCUGGUGUAGCGGUGAAAUGCGCAGAUAUCAGGAGGAACACCGGUGGCGAAGGCGGGUCUCUGGGCAGUAACUGACGCUGAGGAGCGAAAGCGUGGGGAGCGAAC